Molecule: ribosomal RNA, 499 nt
Filed under: uncultured bacterium
Lineage: Bacteria
Description: partial 16S ribosomal RNA
Rfam family: Bacterial small subunit ribosomal RNA
Source: RNAcentral
GAUGAACGCUGGCGGCGUGCCUAAUACAUGCAAGUCGAGCGAACAGACGAGAGUGCUUGCACUCUCUGACGUUAGCGGCGGACGGGUGAGUAACACGUGGGUAACCUACCUAUAAGACUGGGAUAGCUUCGGGAAACCGGAGCUAAUACCGGAUAAUAUUUAGCUUCGCAUGAAGCAAUAGUGAAAGACGGUUCUGCUGUCACUUAUAGAUGGACCCGCGGUGUAUUAGCUAGUUGGUGAGGUAACGGCUCACCAAGGCAACGAUACAUAGCCGACCUGAGAGGGUGAUCGGCCACACUGGGACUGAGACACGGACCAGACUCCUACGGGAGGCAGCAGUAGGGAAUCUUCCGCAAUGGACGAAAGUCUGACGGAGCAAUGCCGCGUGAGUGAAGAAGGUGUUCGGAUCGUAAAACUCUGUUGUAAGGGAAGAACAAGUACGUUAGUAACUGAACGUACCUUGACGGUACCUUACCAGAAAGCCACGGCUAACUACGUG